This 253-nucleotide ribosomal RNA is filed under the name uncultured bacterium. RNAcentral describes it as "partial 16S ribosomal RNA". It matches the Rfam family "Bacterial small subunit ribosomal RNA", at positions 524 to 776 of the family's 1533-position model. The record is from RNAcentral.
UACGUAGGGUGCGAGCGUUGUCCGGAAUUAUUGGGCGUAAAGGGCUCGUAGGCGGUUUGUCGCGUCGGGAGUGAAAACCUUGGGCUUAACUCAGGGCUUGCUUUCGAUACGGGCAGACUAGAGGUAUGCAGGGGAGAACGGAAUUCCUGGUGUAGCGGUGAAAUGCGCAGAUAUCAAGAGGAACACCUGCGGCGAAGGCGGGUUGCUGGGCCGACACUGACGCUGAGGCGCGAAAGCGUGGGGAGCAAACGGG